UUCUCUUACCCAUUCGACACUUCAACUUGAUGAAUCUAGUUUUGUUUUCUUCAGCCUUUGGCCCAUCAGUUUCCCACUAAAUAGCUAGGGACCCAAGUCGAUCAAAUGCUUUGACAAGUCUGGAACGGACUAACCCUAUGGUCCUCAUUAUUUUCCAAAGCAAAUGAUACCUUGCAGGUCUUGAUUUCUUUCUUAAGAGUAUGCCGACAGAUCUUCAGACGAGAAAGAGUCUUGGUCUGCUACAGCUGGAAAUGCCGAGAAACCAUUGUGGAGAAGGAUUUGUUUAGGUGGCAUCAUUUGUAGG
Molecule: long non-coding RNA, 304 nt
Filed under: Vitis vinifera (wine grape)
Lineage: Eukaryota; Viridiplantae; Streptophyta; Magnoliopsida; Vitales; Vitaceae
Description: long non-coding RNA (VVIN_LNC006654)
Source: RNAcentral